Penaeus monodon (black tiger shrimp) is the source of this 1300-nucleotide long non-coding RNA. RefSeq lists it as uncharacterized. The transcript has 4 exons. The record is from RefSeq and is a predicted model, not a curated record. Lineage: Eukaryota; Metazoa; Arthropoda; Malacostraca; Decapoda; Penaeidae.
UCAAAACAAAAUAGAUUCGUGUGGCUGCCGCGUAGUCUAAAACCCGAAAAAAGAAGAAAGAAGACUGCUUGCCGCUACAAACAUCCAUACGUCGAGCUUUGUGAAGGCUAACAAGUUCGACCUAGACACAGGCGGAAGUGCCAGAUUCAACCAAAGCUAUGAAUCACAAAACUAGAAAUAGCAGGAAGAUGAAACUCCAAAUCGACCUAAGUAACAAGCAGUGCAUACGUCAAGAGAAUGUAGUACUGAUACAUUCACCCUAAGCAGUCAUCAACGUCAAACUUCAGUAACCCAACAUAAUUAGCAGAAGAGCAUAAAACUAAGGAUAGCAUGAUGUUGACUUUUCAUCAACAAAAGUACUGCAUCGGAUGACGCACAAGAUAAAAAUAAUAUAACAAAAUUGAACAAGCAAUAAGAAAAGGAUCCAAGGAAUACAUACUACUACUACUGUCACUACAAAAAAGAGAAGAAGAAGAAGGAGAAGAAUGAUUAAGUAAUUAAAACAGAGUUUGUGCUGAAUGCAGGGCAGAAUUGGGGAGCACCUUCCCCAAUAGGUUAUAAAAUGAUUGUCCUUAUGCUGAGAAAGUCUUUCUUAGAUGUGCAAAACCUCUCAGUUUAGGAAGCAUAGAAAACAUUUUCCCAUUCAUCGAAGUUAUUUUUUUAAUCUAUACACCGGGAGCGACGCAACUGAAGGGCGAUCGGGGCGAAGGGAGAACACAAACACGUUGCAAAACACAUGGGGUUUAUUACCCAAUAGACGGAGGGUAGCAAAUUUGUCAGUUGUUAAAUUGUUAACCUGAAACACCCAGAAACAUAUGCACCACCGUCUCCGCUGUCUGGUCUUGCGCAAACACACGGCAAGACCUGUUACCGCACCUCAUUACCACUGCCGUGAACUCAGCACGUCACUGCGGCUCUUUGCCUCAUGAUAACAUAACAGCCAAGGUCUGAGUUGAGAGAAAGCUGAAGUGAGCACACCUUACUUCUCUGGAUCUUGACAACAACAAUGGGAAACAAACCACUGCGUAGCCGUUUUACACAUCCAUGCCAACAAUGUCUAUAGAAGUACUUGUAUAGACCUUGCAUGCCACCACUUUGACCAGAGAAGUUCCACGAAAACACAAACUGUGUCAAAACAACACCUCUGCAAAAACGGCCGCACGUGCACAUCUGUAUUCAAUUCUGCCAGCUUCGGCCUCAUACAAGGUGUCCACGAAUGAAUUUUGGCUGGCAAAAUCAACAUUUCUCAAGCGGUAUUUUUCUUCGAUAUGUGAAAGAGAAAUAAAAUUGUCUACCAGAA